This 253-nucleotide ribosomal RNA is filed under the name uncultured bacterium. Its description in RNAcentral is "partial 16S ribosomal RNA". It matches the Rfam family "Bacterial small subunit ribosomal RNA", at positions 524 to 776 of the family's 1533-position model. The record is from RNAcentral.
UACGUAGGGAGCAAGCGUUGUCCGGAAUCAUUGGGCGUAAAGCGCGCGUAGGUGGUCCCGUAAGUCCGCUGUGAAAGUCAAAGGCUCAACCUUUGAAAGCCGGUGGAUACUGUCGGGCUAGAGUGCGGAAGAGGCGAGUGGAAUUCCUGGUGUAGCGGUGAAAUGCGUAGAGAUCAGGAAGAACAUCGGUGGCGAAGGCGCUCUGCUGGACCAUAACUGACACUCAGGGACGAAAGCUAGGGGAGCGAAUGGG